GAGCUUGUGAUUCUCGAAGCAAUUUUAUUCUUGAGUAGAUGGUUCUUGGCAUGUGGAUUCAGCAUCAGGUAGGCAGUCUUGUGAGCUGUCAUUUUUAGUGGUCAUGGUUAGAAGGAAAGCAACCUUUUUCCAUCGAUGAAAUAUUUUCUUGAAAUUCAAGCCUGUUUACAUUGAUCUGUUAAAGGUUAUUUUCUGCUUGGGUUACGGACAAUGCGAGAUCUUGAGAAGUUGCCUUGUUGAAAGACAAACAUUGUUUUUAGCUUACCCUGGUUUAAUUGACCUUCGUAAUGUAAUGAUUUUCUGGCAGGUGACUCCUUCCUGCCGCCUUCUAAUUGGACCUUGCGAUGAUACCUUAUCUGAUCCUCAAUCUGCAUCAGAAUAGCACCAUGAAAUAUGCUGGAUUUUUCACGGGAAUUAAUUGUGCUGGUGUACUCAAGGUGG
This 441-nucleotide long non-coding RNA is filed under the name Hordeum vulgare. Its description in RNAcentral is "long non-coding RNA (HVUL_LNC008331)". The record is from RNAcentral. Lineage: Eukaryota; Viridiplantae; Streptophyta; Magnoliopsida; Poales; Poaceae.